GAUGAACGCUGGCGGCGUGCUUAACACAUGCAAGUCGAGCGAAGCACUUUUGCGGAUUUCUUCGGAUUGAAGCAAUUGUGACUGAGCGGCGGACGGGUGAGUAACGCGUGGGUAACCUGCCUCAUACAGGGGGAUAACAGUUGGAAACGGCUGCUAAUACCGCAUAAGCGCACAGUACCGCAUGGUACCGUGUGAAAAACUCCGGUGGUAUGAGAUGGACCCGCGUCUGAUUAGGUAGUUGGUGGGGUAACGGCCUACCAAGCCGACGAUCAGUAGCCGACCUGAGAGGGUGACCGGCCACAUUGGGACUGAGACACGGCCCAAACUCCUACGGGAGGCAGCAGUGGGGAAUAUUGCACAAUGGGGGAAACCCUGAUGCAGCGACGCCGCGUGAGCGAUGAAGUAUUUCGGUAUGUAAAGCUCUAUCAGCAGGGAAGAAAAUGACGGU
This 448-nucleotide ribosomal RNA is filed under the name uncultured bacterium. Its description in RNAcentral is "bacterial SSU rRNA". It matches the Rfam family "Bacterial small subunit ribosomal RNA", at positions 28 to 458 of the family's 1533-position model. The record is from RNAcentral.